GGUGAUAGUCCCGUAGUUGACGACGUGUGUUCAGUGAAAUCGAGUAGGGCGGGACACGUGAUAUCCUGUCUGAAUAUGGGGGGACCAUCCUCCAAGGCUAAAUACUACUGACUGACCGAUAGUGAACCAGUACCGUGAGGGAAAGGCGAAAAGAACCCCUGUGAGGGGAGUGAAAUAGAACCUGAAACCGUGUACGUACAAGCAGUAGGAGCAGGCUUUGUCCUGUGACUGCGUACCUUUUGUAUAAUGGGUCAGCGACUUAUAUUCAGUGGCAAGGUUAACCAUCUAGGGGAGCCGUAGGGAAACCGAGUCUUAACUGGGCGUUCAGUCUCUGGAUAUAGACCCGAAACCAGGUGAUCUAGCCAUGGGCAGGUUGAAGGUUGAGUAACAUCAACUGGAGGACCGAACCGACUAAUGUUGAAAAAUUAGCGGAUGACUUGUGGCUAGGGGUGAAAGGCCAAUCAAACCUGGAGAUAGCUGGUUCUCCCCGAAAGCUAUUUAGGUAGCGCCUCGGACGAAUACUACUGGGGGUAGAGCACUGUUAAGGCUAGGGGGUCAUCCCGACUUACCAACCCUUUGCAAACUCCGAAUACCAGUAAGUACUAUCCGGGAGACACACGGCGGGUGCUAACGUCCGUCGUGGAGAGGGAAACAACCCAGACCGCCAGCUAAGGUCCCAAAUUACUACUAAGUGGGAAACGAUGUGGGAAGGCUCAGACAGCCAGGAUGUUGGCUUAGAAGCAGCCAUCAUUUAAAGAAAGCGUAAUAGCUCACUGGUCGAGUCGGCCUGCGCGGAAGAUGUAACGGGGCUAAGUAGUAAACCGAAGCUGCGGCAAUAUACUUUUGUAUAUUGGGUAGGGGAGCGUUCUGUAAGCGGUUGAAGGUGUGUGGUAACGCAUGCUGGACGUAUCAGAAGUGCGAAUGCUGACAUGAGUAACGAUAAAGGGGGUGAAAAACCUCCUCGCCGGAAGACCAAGGGUUCCUGUCCAACGUUAAUCGGGGCAGGGUAAGUCGACCCCUAAGGCGAGGCCGAAAGGCGUAGUCGAUGGGAAACGGGUUAAUAUUCCCGUACUUCUUACAAUUGCGAUGGGGGGACGGAGAAGGCUAGGUGGGCCUGGCGACGGUUGUCCAGGUUCAAGUGCGUAGGCUUAAGA
RNAcentral lists this ribosomal RNA (1154 nucleotides) under Vibrio parahaemolyticus. RNAcentral describes it as "partial 23S ribosomal RNA". It matches the Rfam family "Bacterial large subunit ribosomal RNA", at positions 363 to 1531 of the family's 2925-position model. Lineage: Bacteria; Pseudomonadati; Pseudomonadota; Gammaproteobacteria; Vibrionales; Vibrionaceae. The record is from RNAcentral.